AGGGUUCCGGCUCUUCCUUGUCUUCUCCGAACUCAGGUUUCUUAAAGCACCUCCAACUCUCAUUCGCUAACCCUAAUCUUAAUCCCUUCAUCAGCUUUCAGAAAUUUCAAGAGAUUUGGUGAUGCUUUUCCUCUUCAGGUCUCGAAUUGCAACCCUGUAAAGACAAAUUACAGGAGAACGAUUGGAUGUACUGAAGAUAUUAAUAAUUGAUGAAGUGAUAUCUUGUGCGGGGAUUCAAUGAGAAUUUAGGGAUGUUUGGAUUUCGAUUUUCAACUCUUGUUAUGCUGUUUAU
Helianthus annuus (common sunflower) is the source of this 292-nucleotide long non-coding RNA. RefSeq lists it as uncharacterized. The transcript is spliced from 3 exons. NCBI's taxonomy places the organism in Eukaryota, Viridiplantae, Streptophyta, Magnoliopsida, Asterales, Asteraceae. The record is from RefSeq and is a predicted model, not a curated record.